This 253-nucleotide ribosomal RNA is filed under the name uncultured bacterium. RNAcentral's name for it is "partial 16S ribosomal RNA". It matches the Rfam family "Bacterial small subunit ribosomal RNA", at positions 524 to 776 of the family's 1533-position model. The record is from RNAcentral.
UACGUAGGGUGCGAGCGUUGUCCGGAAUUAUUGGGCGUAAAGAGCUCGUAGGCGGUUUGUCGCGUCUGCCGUGAAAGUCCGGGGCUCAACUCCGGAUCUGCGGUGGGUACGGGCAGACUAGAGUGCAGUAGGGGAGACUGGAAUUCCUGGUGUAGCGGUGAAAUGCGCAGAUAUCAGGAGGAACACCGGUGGCGAAGGCGGGUCUCUGGGCCGAUACUGACGCUGAGGAGCGAAAGCGUGGGGAGCGAACAGG